GAGUCCUUUUUUCCCUUCUACCACCUUCAUCUCAUAUCCAAACUCUGACACUGGAAAUGCAUUUGACAGUUAAAGCUAUCAGAGGCAUUUUUUAGGCUCUAUACGACCAACCACCUAUCAUUUUUAUUUACAGGCAGUGUUUCGUAAUUGUUAAACACGAUGAAUCAUUUGAAAAAACAGUGCCUCCUCUACAAAGCAUAUGAUGAGUGUUCAGAUCACACAUGACAAGUCCUCGAGUGGUAAGGUCCUCCAGCCCUAUCUACGCCAUGUGAACUGGCGAGCACCAGCGCUGCAGGAUCUGUCUUGGGGAAAAUUCGUUCCUGGAUGAAUAGUGACGGGAAAGAGUUCAAGCCAGGGUCCCCUCUCCCUUUAGUGAGGAAUUAGCAGAAUGAAUCCAUCUACACUUUUCUAGUGACUACCUACUUUGUAA
RNAcentral lists this long non-coding RNA (430 nucleotides) under Bos taurus (domestic cattle). RNAcentral describes it as "long non-coding RNA NONBTAT002907". Lineage: Eukaryota; Metazoa; Chordata; Mammalia; Artiodactyla; Bovidae. The record is from RNAcentral.